AGCGAACGCUGGCGGCAGGCUUAACACAUGCAAGUCGAGCGGGCACUUUCGGGUGUCAGCGGCGGACGGGUGCGUAACGCGUGGGAACGUGCCCUCUGGUUCGGAAUAACUCAGGGAAACUUGAGCUAAUACCGGAUACGCCCUUUUGGGGAAAGGCUUGCUGCCGGAGGAUCGGCCCGCGUCUGAGUAGCUAGUUGGUGAGGUAACGGCUCACCAAGGCGACGAUCAGUAGCUGGUCUGAGAGGAUGAUCAGCCACACUGGGACUGAGACACGGCCCAGACUCCUACGGGAGGCAGCAGUGGGGAAUAUUGGACAAUGGGCGCAAGCCUGAUCCAGCCAUGCCGCGUGAGUGAUGAAGGCCUUAGGGUUGUAAAGCUCUUUUAUCCGGGACGAUAAUGACGGUACCGGAGGAAUAAGCCCCGGCUAACUUCGUG
Molecule: ribosomal RNA, 435 nt
Filed under: uncultured bacterium
Lineage: Bacteria
Description: partial 16S ribosomal RNA
Rfam family: Bacterial small subunit ribosomal RNA
Source: RNAcentral